RNAcentral lists this ribosomal RNA (694 nucleotides) under uncultured bacterium. Its description in RNAcentral is "bacterial SSU rRNA". It matches the Rfam family "Bacterial small subunit ribosomal RNA", at positions 94 to 820 of the family's 1533-position model. The record is from RNAcentral.
AGUGGCGGACGGGUGAGUAACGCGUGAGAAUCCACCUUCAGGUCGGGGACAACAGUUGGAAACAGCUGCUAAUACCGGAUGAGCCGAAAGGUAAAAGGCUUGCCGCCGGAAGAAGAGCUCGCGUCUGAUUAGCUAGUUGGAGAGGUAAAAGCUCACCAAGGCGACGAUCAGUAGCUGGUCUGAGAGGAUGACCAGCCACACUGGGACUGAGACACGGCCCAGACUCCUACGGGAGGCAGCAGUGGGGAAUUCUCCGCAAUGGGCGAAAGCCUGACGGAGCAAUACCGCGUGAGGGAGGAAGGCUCUUGGGUCGUAAACCUCUUUUCUCAGGGAAGAAGAAAGUGACGGUACCUGAGGAAUCAGCAUCGGCUAACUCCGUGCCAGCAGCCGCGGUAAUACGGAGGAUGCAAGCGUUAUCCGGAAUCAUUGGGCGUAAAGAGUCCGUAGGUGGCGGAUCAAGUCUGUCGUUAAAGAGCGGGGCUUAACCCUGGAAAGGCGAUGGAAACUGAUCGAGCUAGAGUACGGCAGGGGUAGAGGGAAUUCCCAGUGUAGCGGUGAAAUGCGUAGAGAUUGGGAAGAACACCGGUGGCGAAAGCGCUCUACUAGACCUGUACUGACACUGAGGGACGAAAGCUAGGGGAGCGAAUGGGAUUAGAUACCCCAGUAGUCCUAGCCGUAAACGAUGGAUACUAGG